GUGCCAGCAGCCGCGGUAAUACGUAGGGUCCGAGCGUUGUCCGGAAUUAUUGGGCGUAAAGAGCUCGUAGGCGGUUUGUCGCGUCUGCUGUGAAAUCCCGAGGCUCAACCUCGGGCCUGCAGUGGGUACGGGCAGACUUGAGUGCGGUAGGGGAGAAUGGAAUUCCUGGUGUAGCGGUGGAAUGCGCAGAUAUCAGGAGGAACACCGAUGGCGAAGGCAGUUCUCUGGGCCGUAACUGACGCUGAGGAGCGAAAGCGUGGGGAGCGAACAGGAUUAGAUACCCUCGUAGUCC
Molecule: ribosomal RNA, 292 nt
Filed under: uncultured bacterium
Lineage: Bacteria
Description: partial 16S ribosomal RNA
Rfam family: Bacterial small subunit ribosomal RNA
Source: RNAcentral